RNAcentral lists this ribosomal RNA (1523 nucleotides) under Candidatus Parcubacteria bacterium. Its description in RNAcentral is "bacterial SSU rRNA". It matches the Rfam family "Bacterial small subunit ribosomal RNA". Lineage: Bacteria; Candidatus Parcubacteria. The record is from RNAcentral.
AGUGAGUUUGAUCCUAGCUCAGGGUGAACGCUCGCGGCGUAGAUAAGGCAUGCAAGUCGAACGGGUGUAGUUUUUUUUAAAACUACAUUACGUGGCAAACGAGGCAGUAAUACAUAUCUAACCUACCCUGAAGACGAGAAUAACCUCCGAAAGGAGACUAAUUCUCGAUAUUCCUAUUUUUACACAAGUAGAAAUAGGGAAAGGAUAUAGCCUAUCGCUUCAGGAAGGGGAUAUGUCCGAUCAGCUAGUUGGUGGGGUAAUGGCCUACCAAGGCUAAGACCGGUAGGAGGCCUGAGAGGGUGUUCUCCGCCGUAGGCACUGAGACACGGGCCUAAUUCCUACGGGAAGCAGCAGCCGAGAAUAUUGGGCAAUGGGCGAAAGCCUGACCCAGUGACGCCGCGUGCCGGAAGAAGCCCUUCGGGGUGUAAACGGCUUUUGUAGGGGAGGAAGCCAUGAAUUAUUUAUGAUUUAUGGUUGACAGUACCCUACGAAUAAGGGACGACUAACUUCGUGCCAGCAGUCGCGGUAAGACGAAGGUCCCAAGCGUUACCCGGAUUUACUGGGCGUAAAGGGUGAAUAGGCGGAAGCAAAAGUUUCAUCUUAAAACUAACUGCUCAACAGUUAGGGUGGAUGAAAUACUUUGCUUCUAGAGAAUGGCAGAGGACAGCGGAACACACGGUGUAGGGGUGAAAUCCGUUGAUAUCGUGUGGAACGCCGAAGGCGAAGGCAGCUGUCUAGGUCAUUUCUGACGCUGAUUUCACGAAAGCUAGGGGCGCAAACCGGAUUAGAUACCCGGGUAGUCCUAGCUGUAAACUAUGGAUGCUAACUCUAGGGAGAUUCGACCCUCUCUGGGGUAAAGCUAACGCGUUAAGCAUCCCGCCUGGGAAGUACAACCGCAAGGUUGAAACUCAAAGGAAUAGGCGGAAGGCUGCACAAGCGGUGGACCAUGUGGUUUAAUUCGACAGUAACCGAAAAAUCUUACCUGGGCUUGACAUGCUUGUCUUAAUACCUAUUUUGAAAAAAAUAGGGAGUGUGUUUUUACACACGGGCAAGCACAGGUGCUGCAUGGCCGUCGUCAGCUCGUGGUGUGAAUCGUAACCUUAAGUGGCACAACGAGCGCAACCCUUGUCCUGUGUUAUAAGUAUCACAGGAGACUGCCGAGUAUAACUCGGAGGAAGGUGAGGAUGACGUCAGGUCCGCAUGGCCCUUAUGCCCAGGGCCACACACAUGGUACAAUGCCAGAUACAAUGGGUUGCAAAACCGUAAGGUGGAGCUAAUCCCAAAAGUCUGGCUAAGUUCGGAUUGGAGACUGAAACUCGUCUCCAUGAAGCCGGAAUCGCUAGUAAUCGCGGAUCAGCUAUGCCGCGGUGAAUACGUUCCCAGCCUUUGCACUCACUGCCCGUCAGGCCAGAGGAGUUGCUCUUACCUAAAAACCUAAUUUAAUUUAGGGAUAGGGUAAGAGUGAUGACUAGGGCUAAGUCGUAACAAGGUAUCGCUACCGGAAGGUGGCGAUGGACCAAUUC